GGGAGAAUUCCCGAGUGGCCAAAGGGGGCAGACUGUAAAUCUGUUGUCUGACGACUUCGGUGGUUCAAAUCCACCUUCUCCCACCA
RNAcentral lists this transfer RNA (86 nucleotides) under Clostridiaceae bacterium. Its description in RNAcentral is "tRNA-Tyr". It matches the Rfam family "tRNA". From Rfam's summary of the family: Transfer RNA (tRNA) molecules are approximately 80 nucleotides in length. Their secondary structure includes four short double-helical elements and three loops (D, anti-codon, and T loops). Lineage: Bacteria; Bacillati; Bacillota; Clostridia; Eubacteriales; Clostridiaceae. The record is from RNAcentral.